RNAcentral lists this ribosomal RNA (253 nucleotides) under uncultured bacterium. Its description in RNAcentral is "partial 16S ribosomal RNA". It matches the Rfam family "Bacterial small subunit ribosomal RNA", at positions 524 to 776 of the family's 1533-position model. The record is from RNAcentral.
UACGUAGGGGGCAAGCGUUGUCCGGAAUCAUUGGGCGUAAAGAGCGUGUAGGCGGUCCGGUAAGUCGGUUGUGAAAGCCCAGGGCUCAACCCUGGGAUGCCGACCGAUACUGUCGGACUAGAGUUCGGAAGAGGCGAGUGGAAUUCCCGGUGUAGCGGUGAAAUGUGUAGAGAUCGGGAGGAACACCGGUGGCGAAGGCGGGUCUCUGGGCAUCUACUGACGCUGAGGAGCGAAAGCGUGGGGAGCGAACAGG